CCUACGGGUGGCAGCAGUGAGGAAUAUUGGUCAAUGGCCGGAAGGCUGAACCAGCCAUGCCGCGUGAAGGUCAGUGCCCUAUGGGCGUUAAACUUCUUUUGUGCGGGAGCAAUAAUGGUCACGUGUGGCCAGACGAGAGUACCGUACGAAUAAGCAUCGGCUAACUCCGUGCCAGCAGCCGCGGUAAUACGGGGGAUGCAAGCGUUAUCCGGAUUUAUUGGGUUUAAAGGGUGCGUAGGCUGUGAGGUAAGUCAGCGGUGAAAUGCCCCCGCUCAACGGGGUGAAGUGCCAUUGAUACUGCCUGGCUGGAAUGCGGGUGCCGUGGGAGGAAUGUGUGGUGUAGCGGUGAAAUGCAUAGAUAUCACACAGAACACCGAUGGCGAAGGCAUCUCACGAAUCCGCGAUUGACGCUGAGGCACGAAAGCGUGGGUAUCAAACAGGAUUAGAUACCCCUGUAGUC
Molecule: ribosomal RNA, 460 nt
Filed under: uncultured bacterium
Lineage: Bacteria
Description: partial 16S ribosomal RNA
Rfam family: Bacterial small subunit ribosomal RNA
Source: RNAcentral